This 779-nucleotide ribosomal RNA is filed under the name Staphylococcus aureus. RNAcentral's name for it is "partial 23S ribosomal RNA". It matches the Rfam family "Bacterial large subunit ribosomal RNA", at positions 1333 to 2107 of the family's 2925-position model. Lineage: Bacteria; Bacillati; Bacillota; Bacilli; Caryophanales; Staphylococcaceae. The record is from RNAcentral.
UCCACCGAUUGACUAAGGUUUCCAGAGGAAGGCUCGUCCGCUCUGGGUUAGUCGGGUCCUAAGCUGAGGCCGACAGGCGUAGGCGAUGGAUAACAGGUUGAUAUUCCUGUACCACCUAUAAUCGUUUUAAUCGAUGGGGGGACGCAGUAGGAUAGGCGAAGCGUGCGAUUGGAUUGCACGUCUAAGCAGUAAGGCUGAGUAUUAGGCAAAUCCGGUACUCGUUAAGGCUGAGCUGUGAUGGGGAGAAGACAUUGUGUCUUCGAGUCGUUGAUUUCACACUGCCGAGAAAAGCCUCUAGAUAGAAAAUAGGUGCCCGUACCGCAAACCGACACAGGUAGUCAAGAUGAGAAUUCUAAGGUGAGCGAGCGAACUCUCGUUAAGGAACUCGGCAAAAUGACCCCGUAACUUCGGGAGAAGGGGUGCUCUUUAGGGUUAACGCCCAGAAGAGCCGCAGUGAAUAGGCCCAAGCGACUGUUUAUCAAAAACACAGGUCUCUGCUAAACCGUAAGGUGAUGUAUAGGGGCUGACGCCUGCCCGGUGCUGGAAGGUUAAGAGGAGUGGUUAGCUUCUGCGAAGCUACGAAUCGAAGCCCCAGUAAACGGCGGCCGUAACUAUAACGGUCCUAAGGUAGCGAAAUUCCUUGUCGGGUAAGUUCCGACCCGCACGAAAGGCGUAACGAUUUGGGCACUGUCUCAACGAGAGACUCGGUGAAAUCAUAGUACCUGUGAAGAUGCAGGUUACCCGCGACAGGACGGAAAGACCCCGUGGAGCUUUACUGU